RNAcentral lists this ribosomal RNA (493 nucleotides) under uncultured Microgenomates group bacterium. RNAcentral describes it as "bacterial SSU rRNA". It matches the Rfam family "Bacterial small subunit ribosomal RNA", at positions 94 to 618 of the family's 1533-position model. The record is from RNAcentral.
ACCGGCGGACGGGUGAGUAACGCGUGGGAAUCUUCCCAGAAGAGGGGCAUAGCCAGCCGAAAGGUUGGGUAAUUCCCCAUGUGAUCGAAAGAUUAAAGGCGCAAGCCGCUUCUGGAUGAGCCCGCGUCCUAUCAGCUUGUUGGUGGGGUAAAAGCCUACCAAGGCGACGACGGGUAGCUGGUCUGAGAGGAUGGUCAGCCACAAUGGGACUGCGACACGGCCCAUACAUCUACGGAUGGCAGCAACUGGGAAUCAUGGACAAUGGACGAAAGUCUGAUCCUGCGACGCCGCGUGGAGGAUUGAAGGCCUUCGGGUUGUAAACUCCUUUUGCAUAGGAAGAUUAUGACGGUACUAUGCGAAUAAGCACCUGCUAAUCACGUGCCAGAAGCCUCGGUAAUACGUGAGGUGCGAGCGUUAUCCGGAUUCAUUGGGCGUAAAGAGUUGCGUAGGCGGAUUUGCGCAUUUUGUUUAAAAGCCCGGAGCUCAACUCCGG